CCUACGGGGGGCAGCAGUGAGGAAUAUUGGUCAAUGGGCGAGAGCCUGAACCAGCCAAGUCGCGUGAGGGAAGACGGUCCUAUGGAUUGUAAACCUCUUUUGCCGGGGAGCAAAAAGCGGUACGUGUACCGCAUCGAGAGUACCCGGAGAAAAAGCAUCGGCUAACUCCGUGCCAGCAGCCGCGGUAAUACGGAGGAUGCGAGGGUUAUCCGGAUUUAUUGGGUUUAAAGGGUGCGCAGGCGGCGAGUUAAGUCAGCGGUAAAAUUUCGGGGCUCAACCCCGACAAGCCGUUGAAACUGGCUGGCUAGAGUGGGCGUGAAGUAUGCGGAAUGCGUGGUGUAGCGGUGAAAUGCAUAGAUAUCACGCAGAACUCCGAUUGCGAAGGCAGCAUACCGGCGCCCAACUGACGCUCAGGCACGAAAGCGUGGGUAUCGAACAGGAUUAGAUACCCCGGUAGUC
This 459-nucleotide ribosomal RNA is filed under the name uncultured bacterium. Its description in RNAcentral is "partial 16S ribosomal RNA". It matches the Rfam family "Bacterial small subunit ribosomal RNA", at positions 338 to 795 of the family's 1533-position model. The record is from RNAcentral.